RNAcentral lists this ribosomal RNA (497 nucleotides) under uncultured bacterium. RNAcentral describes it as "partial 16S ribosomal RNA". It matches the Rfam family "Bacterial small subunit ribosomal RNA", at positions 28 to 507 of the family's 1533-position model. The record is from RNAcentral.
GAUGAACGCUGGCGGCGUGCCUAAUACAUGCAAGUCGAGCGAACGGACGAGAAGCUUGCUUCUCUGAUGUUAGCGGCGGACGGGUGAGUAACACGUGGAUAACCUACCUAUAAGACUGGGAUAACUUCGGGAAACCGGAGCUAAUACCGGAUGAUAUUUUGAACCGCAUGGUUCAAAAGUGAAAGACGGUCUUGCUGUCACUUAUAGAUGGAUCCGCGCUGCAUUAGCUAGUUGGUAAGGUAACGGCUUACCAAGGCAACGAUGCAUAGCCGACCUGAGAGGGUGAUCGGCCACACUGGAACUGAGACACGGUCCAGACUCCUACGGGAGGCAGCAGUAGGGAAUCUUCCACAAUGGGCGAAAGCCUGACGGAGCAACGCCGCGUGAGUGAUGAAGGUCUUCGGAUCGUAAAACUCUGUUAGUUGGGAAGAAGAGAUGUGUAAGUAACUGUGCACAUCUUGACGGUACCUAAUCAGAAAGCCACGGCUAACUACGUG